UGCAGGAUAGGCUAAAUUUUUAAAGCUGCUAGGCUCAUAACUUAGUGAUGGAUUAUUUCCUUUUGUAU
RNAcentral lists this transfer RNA (68 nucleotides) under Viana regina. RNAcentral's name for it is "tRNA-Met". The record is from RNAcentral. Lineage: Eukaryota; Metazoa; Mollusca; Gastropoda; Cycloneritida; Helicinidae.